CCGAAGAAUCGGACGAAGCGUCGAGGGACCAAUGACAUGUCGGACAACUUGGUUAAUUGCUUAGGAUUAAUUGUCUCGAUCGAAGUUUUGUUUUGUUGUGCAGGAUUAACUACGAUAAGAGUAAGACAAGCAGCCAGGAGUUGCGCCGGAGUCAAGAUCAUGAUCACGUUGGGAGUUCGAGAGUUCGACGGAAGUUCGGACGGUCGUCGGAGGUUCAGAGAGAACAGAUCCGAGAAGUCCAGAAGCUUGCCAAGCGAAGCUCGUCGGAACUCGCCAAGUGGAUCGUCGCAAAGUCCAGGAGUAUGCCGGAUGUCCGCAGAAGGAUCACCGAAGGUUAUCGGUUGAUCGACGGAAGUUGGCCGGAAACUCGCCGGAAGAAGCGAUUGACGCAUCGGAGCAAAGCUGCAGAAGUUGUCUUAGAGAUAUUCGUAGUUAGCACGAUGAUUAAGCAUGAAAAUGGGAGGUGAUCCCAUUAGCUUAAUCUUGGGGCAAUUGGGCCCCUGAAAAGAUUCAAAGUGGGUCGAAUGGAGUGAACCAUUCGGACCCUGAUUGCACCAGGAGGUGCAACCGCCCCAGCCAGGAGGUGCAACCGCCUGGGCUGUGGGGUUGAGAGGUGCAACCGCCCCAGCCAGGAGGUGCAACCGCCAGGGUUGCAAGGCUGGGAGGUGCAACCGCCCCAGCCAGGAGGUGCAACCGCCAGGGUUGCAAGGCUGGGAGGUGCAACCGCUCCAGCCAAGAGGUUGCACCGCCAGAGCUCAAGUUCCGAGCUCUGCCAGGCGAUGCAACCACCGAGCUCAGUCUUCGAGCUCUGGCAGAGUGGUGCAUCAGCCUGAGCUCAGUCUCGAGCUUUGCCAGGUGAUGCAUUCACCAAGCUCAGUCUUCGAGCUCUGGCAGAAUGGUGCAUCAGCUUGAGCUCAGUUUGGAGCUCUGCCAAGUGAUGCAACCACCAAGCUCAGUCUUCGAGCUCUGCCAGGCGAUGCAACCAUCGAGCUCAGUCUUCGAGCUCUGGCAGAGAGAAGCAAUCGGCAGAGCUCAGUCUUCGAGCUCUGCCAGGCGGUGCCACCUCUCCAGUCGAGAGGUGCAACCGCCUGAUCCCAGAAUUCUGGGAUUUGAUCGAUUUGAUCGUUUUGAGCUCGAAUUUUGAAUUGGGUUGGGGCCUAUAAAUACCCCACCCAUUCAGCACUGAAAAGAUAACAGACCAAUACCGAAAUAUUGAUCUUUUCUGUGAUUCUAAGAGCUCAAAAGUGUUGUAAAGUCUUUAAGUCUCCUCCUUCUGUUCUUCAAGUUUUUGAUUGUAAAGUGAGGAGAGAAAGGUCUGUAAAGGUUGUCUCCUGAGCCUGUCAAAAGGAGAGAAACUGUAAAAGGGCAGUUAGCCUUCACCCAUUGAAGGAAGGCCCCUAGUUGACGUCGGCAACCUCGUCGGUGGAGGAAGCCAAAAGUGGAGUAGGUCAAGGCUGACCGAACCACUCUAAAUCUCUGGUUUGCGUUUAUUUUCGAGCACUUUAUCAUUACUGCAAACCUCCUUCAUUGCUACUGCUCUCUGCGCUUUCACGAACAAAUUCUAAGUGCUGUUCUUCCAAAUCUGCAUUCAGACGUAAAUUCGUAUUUUCGUACAUUACAGUUUACGUUUACGUUUGAUUCUGCAGAACUGUCUUCCGUGCUUUUACGAACGAGUUUCUUUGCAGUUUACGCUUACAUUUUAAUCCUAUUAAUAACUGCAAUCUGUCCUCUAUGAUCUUACGAACGAGUUUCAACAUUUAGACGCAAAACUGCAUUCAGACGUAAAUCGGCUUUUCUCGCUCAAUCGUCAGAUUUCAGUUCACGUUUACGUCUUGAUUUCAACUGCAUACUGCCUUCUGCGAGUAUACAAACAAGUUUCAAAGUUUAGACGUAAAUCUGCGUUUAGACGUAAAUCUGCGUUUAGACGUAAAACUACGUUUAGACGUAAAUCUGCGUUUAGACGUAAAACUGCGUUUAGACGUAAAACUGCGUUUAGACGUAAAACUGCGUUUAGACGUAAAUCUGCGUUUAGACGUAAAUCUGCGUUUAGACGUAAAUCUGCGUUUAGACGUAAAUCUGAGUUUAGACGCAAAACUGCACUUAGACGCAAAACUGCGCUUAGAUGCAAAACUGCGCUUAGAUGCAAAACUGCGCUUAGACGCAAAACUGCGCUUAAACGCAAUCUGCGCUUAGACGCAAACUGCACUUAGAUACAAACUGAGAAUUUGCUUUUGCAUCAUAAUAGUUUUUGAACGAACGCAGCUUUUGGUUCUUAAUCGCUGUAAGAUUUCCGCUGCACUAAUUCACCCCCCCCCCUCUUAGUGCUCUCGAUCCUA
This 2336-nucleotide long non-coding RNA is filed under the name Musa acuminata (dwarf banana). Its description in RNAcentral is "long non-coding RNA (MACU_LNC009899)". Lineage: Eukaryota; Viridiplantae; Streptophyta; Magnoliopsida; Zingiberales; Musaceae. The record is from RNAcentral.